Molecule: transfer RNA, 62 nt
Filed under: Cherax robustus
Lineage: Eukaryota; Metazoa; Arthropoda; Malacostraca; Decapoda; Parastacidae
Description: tRNA-Pro
Source: RNAcentral
CCAGAAAAUAGUUUAAAAAAUAUUAAUUUUGGAAAUUAAAGUUAAGCUUUUGCUUUUUUCUG